AAUUUAAAAAAGACCCGUUACGCAGUAAAUGAUAAACAGUUACCCGUACCUUUGGAACCUGAUCAAUUCUAAUCUAAUAGACGUUAGUGAUAUAAACAUAUUUUAUAAGAAUCACCGAUUAAUUUAUGUUAUCGAAAUACCUCUAAUCGAACAAAACAACUUUAUUUUAUAUCAUGUGAUUCCGUUACCAAUCAAGCAGGUUGAGAGGGGCAUUUAUGCAUUCAUAAACCUCAUUUAUACUUAUUUAGGUCUUAGAUCUGAUAAACAAUUAUAUACUCAUUUAACAGAACGCGAUAUAGAUAAAUGUAAAAAGAUUAAUAACGCAAUGAUUUGUAAACAAACGGAUUUGCUAUACCAAGUCUCAGCGAUUCAUAAUUGUGAAUCAGAAUUAUUGAAGUCAGCCAGAUUAGAGAGCAUAUUAAAAGAAUGUGAUGUUCGAGUUAUGAAAAUUCACAACACAGUGUGGUAUCAAUUAAAAACUACGAAUUUUUGGAUAUACACAGCUCCUCGUAACGAAACUCUUCACAUCUUAUGUAAAGACAAUAAGCCGCGACAAACACAAUUAUUUUCAACCGGACUUAUUAAGUUUUCCGCAGAUUGUGAUGCUAUUUCCGAUAAUGCAUUGUUACGCAGUCAAACCAUAGGCGUUAUAAAUACUAUCGAAAAGGAUUAUAUUCCCGAUGUUAAAUUAAAUACUAGUAAAUUAUGCAAAGAUCUCAAGAAACAUAACAUAAAUAUUUCAGAUAUUCACUUACUAAAUAUUGAUAAAACUCCUAAUUUAGACAUGCAAGUGUUAAAAACCGCAAGCUCCGCUCUAGAUGAAAUUUCUAAAGAAGCAGAAGAGUUAGGCAAACAUCAUCGUACUCAAACUCUGUACCAUAAAGUUAUAGGAUGGUUUUACUAUGUAAUAUAUACCAUUGCAGGCCUAGUAAUUUUAUAAAUAAUUGCGAAAUGUUCAUUAAUAACAAAAUGUAUCGACAUUAUUAUUAUUAUUAUUCUUAAACUAUGUUGCGUACCAAAAGAAGGAUGCGUUCAGUAUUUUUAUAAAUGUUUGAACAAUAAUGUUACAACUCGUCACAAUGACCCGCGACAUGUAGUGACUUUCACCGCAGUACCUACGGCAGAUGAACUUUUCCAGAACGACGAAACUGAAAAAUGUGAAAAGAAUAGUGGAAGGCGUCGAUCUCGUUCCCGUAAUAGCCGACUUACAAAUUUAGUGUAAUUUUAUUGCGUGCGAUUUUAGUACGUAAGACCAUAUAUUAGUCUUUUCAAUUUUAAUUUCAUUUAUGUAUCAAUCUGAAAUGGUGUAACUGCAUUAUGUAUGAACAUUAAUAGAUUAAGUUAUCAUGUCACCGUCCCAGAUAGCCAGUUUGGUAUAAUAAAGAUAUUAGCAUCUUCCUAUGCAUUUAUGUCGUCCGUUGUGCUGUUGUUUGCUAGCAUUCGAUGUCGGAAAUAAAAUUCUUUGCACGUUUCAAACAUUAUGCUAGCAUUAUUUAAGAUCAGUGUCGAAUGCUAGCAAAUAACAGCACAAGGGACGACGUAAAUGCAUAGCAAGAUGCUAACAUCUUUAUUAGCAACAUGAGAACAAUUUGUGCUCAUACAUACAUUUGUGGCUAUCUGGGGUAAUCGUAAUAUCGCUAGAUUAUAAGAAUUUGUCAAAUCAAGAAGGAUCUUUAAUUUAAGGGAGAAGGUGUUAUGUGCCUAGACACGAUAAAAAUUCUUUUCUUUAAAAUAUUUCUAUCUAAUCACCCUGUACAAACUAUGUCUUAAAACUAUCCCGAUAUAUCAUACCAGAUCCUUACUUAUUGAUAACCUUUUCUAUCUACGGUCUUUUUAAACUUAAUAUUUGUUUGUUUCCUCGUCCUGUAAACAUCCUGCAUCCCACCCAAACUAUUCUUUAUGACAUAGAUAUCAAUUAUCAAAUUCUCUCCUUUUUAAGAAAUCAACCAAUAGUUAUUUCCGCCUUACGAGCACUUCCUAUGAUUGGAUGAUGCUAACUUAUUCCGACUUUAAUAUAAGGAUCCCUUUCGAUGAUUAGAGUCAGUCUCUGUACUAAACCACUAGAAGUUAGACGAAAGUCUGUAAAACGUUAGAAUAAACACUUUAAAAUACCAGUGCGAUCCAUCUCUCACAUUACGUGCAUCUCACACGUAACAGGUCGCACGAAAAAGGCCGCAGUGGCCGCUCUCAGGUUCCUCUCUGGGUGCGUUCGGGGAGCUCGCUAUUAGCGCUACGCAGCACUACCGCUGUUCGCGGAGACGCUGGAUAGCGCUAUCAAGCGCUGUCGUGACGUCAUUGCUGGUAGCGUUAUACGUCAUAACUGCUCGCUACCGACGCACUUCCUUUCGAGGUAGUGCAUGGGUAGCGUUAGCGUUGAUAGCGUUUGCGAACUUCACGAACAGUCUGAUAGUAACGUAGCGUUCUCCCCAUGGUGGAAGGAAGUAAGGUGUGCUCAUACUGAAGACGCGUUUUCGUAUCGUUCUGCGCAUUGUACCAGCGGCCUUCAUUUUUAAAUUCUUGUGUUUAUGUCAGAACUGUCAGAAGCAAUCAGAAGGCAUUUAACCUUAAUUUCUGACGUUUGUAGGUAGGUUUAUACUGUUUAAGUAUCGGAGCACUAUGCCUUCAUGUGCAGUGAAAAGUUGCUCAAAUUAUACAGGGAAAAGGGGAUCCGGAAAUCUAAAGUUUUUUAGAUUUCCUAUAGAUCCCAUUUUAAGUGAUCAGUGGAAAGUCAUUUGCCAAAAUGAAAAUCUUAAUGUAAAAAAUGCUCGGAUCUGUUUGAUCCAUUUUGAUGCAAGUGCAUAUAAAGAGGCUUCAUGGAUGCGAUCUAUUCUGGGAGAAGGGUACUCGCCCCAAAAAACCAGAAAAUUAAAAGCAGAUGCAAUUCCGACAGAAUAUCUUAAAUUAAUUGUAAAUAAAGGUAGUAAUUUAUUUUUUGUAUGUUUCUAAAUGUAUUUAUUUUUGCACGUAAAAUACAUGUGAGUAUUCUUUUACUAUCUAUUAAACUUUUUUUAUAUUUUAUAUAUGUUAUACAUUAUACAUCUAUAUUUUUAAUAUUAAGUUUAUUCCUUCAUUUAAUUACAAUUAUUUAUAGUAUUAAUGAAAUAUUAUUUAUCUCCUAUUAUUUCAGUACCCGAUGAAACUGCUCAGUCAAUUUGUACAGAAGAGCAAUCGAAUGUAGAACAUCAAAUUGUAGAACAAUAUAAUAACUCUUCUUAUUCUCAAUCAUAUGAUACCAGUAAGAAUUGUAAAAAAAAUACACAAAACCGAUUUUCUAUUAGGAUUUUAGGGUCACUAUUUUCUUAUAUUAUAUUUUCUUAUAUAAAAUUUCAGAUGCCAAAGAAAAAACUUUAAAACAGAACAAAAAUAUACAAAGAAUGUGCCAAAAAUUAUUAGCCCGAAAUAAGUAUUUAGAAAGGGAACUUUUUAAGCAACAAAAACGCGUAAAAGUAAAUUCAGACAUAAGAAUACGAAAAAUUUUAAGUUCAAUAUUUACUCCCGAACAAAUUAAAUUGUUGUUAAAUCCGAAUAAAAAAAAAAAACUAAUUGGUCUGCAGAGGAUAUAGUUGCUGCAAUAUCCCUACGCACUGUAAGUCCUAAAGCUUACAGAUAUUUACAGAAUGCACGGAAUGUGCCACUCCCUGCAUUGUCGACACUUCGUAGAUGGGUUGCUACAUUCAAUGUUGAUAAUGGUAUUUUGGAACAUGUUUUCCUUAUUAUUAUGAAGCAUAAAAGCCAGAACAUGACUAAAAUGGAUAAAAUAACCACGUUAUGUUUUGAUGAAAUUCAUCUAUCCAAUCAAGCAGGAAUUAAACGGAGAAAGGAAAGAGUCAUAGAACCGCAUAAUAAAUGUCAGGUUGCUGUUGCCAGAGGUUUGUUUACUAAAUGGAAGCAACCUGUUUAUUAUGAAUUUGAUCAAAACAUGACUAAACAUAUAUUAACAACUAUAAUAGCUAAAUUGUAUGAAAUCAAUUACAUGGUUGUUGCGAUAACCAGUGAUUUAGGGCCAACGAAUCAAAGAUUACUCAAUGAACUGGAUAUUGAUAGUGCAAAAUUUAAGGUAAAACAUACUUUCUACAUCCAUGCAAUGGAGAAAUAAAAAUAUACGUAUUUAUUGAUGUACCGCACCUAAUAAAAUUGUUACGUAAUUUAUUUGACUCCGGAUUUUACAUAAAUGGUCAUUACAUAAGUAAAACCUGUCUAGAAAGGCUAAUUCAAAUUAAUGGCAAUGAUUUAAAAAUUGUACACAAAUUGUCACGAUUUCAUUUAGACGUGAAGGGAACGCAGCGACAAAACGUCAAACUUGCCACACAAGUUUUUUCUAAUACAAAUGCUACCGCUUUAGAAUGGUGUGGCGAGAAAAGAUUUAUGGAGGAUUGUUUAGAAUGGUCUGAAACUGCAAAAUUUAUCAGACUAUUUAAUGAUUGGUUUGAUUUAUUCAAUUCUUCGAGUAAAUUCGGCUCACAUUCUGGAAUGCAUGCAUAUGGCAUAAAUAUUGAGAAACAAAAUGAACUCUUGGCUAAAGUUUCGUUACUUGUUAAAGAUAUGAGGAUUGAAAAAAAGAAGAAUUUACUUCCAUUUCAAAAAGGAAUUUUAAUAAGUAAUGAGUCAUUAAAAAAACUUAUAUAAUGAUAUGAAAAUGAUGUUUGAAAAUACUCAGUAUCCCGUUACAUAUAUAAUGACUACUCGACUCAAUCAGGAUGUAGUGGAAAAUUUGUUUGCGUAUAUACGAGCAAUGGGAGCUUGUAAUGACAGACCGACAGCACUCGAUCUUAGAUACAGAUUUCGAUGGUACAUAUUAGGAAAGCAUUCGACAGACGUUUUUACUCAAGGGAGUAACACUGUUGUGCAAAAUUUGACAGACAAUGAAACUUACCUUACUAGUAUGUCUGAUGAAUUAUUUAACAGUAAUGAAGAGAAUGCAGAAAACAAUAAUCAAUUGGAUUACGAAACCAUUCAAGAAAUACAAUUUUGCAACAUUUCGGAAGAAUUCACUGAACAAAAUCAGACAGAUAAUAAUAUUGAUUUCGACGAAUUUGAAUACAAUAAUAUUGGUAAGUUAUUAAAUUUGUAAUUGUAUUGACUGCAUAUACUGAAAUAUAUGUAUUGUAUUAAUAUUUACUCUUUUAUUCAUAUAUUGUUUACUGUUAAUCAUAAUUAUAAUCGUCAAUACUACUGUUUCUGAUAACAUAUCAUAGAUAACAUAUCAAGCUGUUUUACCCAAUCGUCAAGAAUCCCAUCCUCCUCCAGAACAGUUUGAAAAUUUUAUAAAUGUAUCCGACGUUAUACAGAAAGAAGGUUUAAAAUAUAUUGCCGGUUAUGCAGCAUCUAGAUUCCGAAAUAAAUACCCAUUUUUAGGAACUCCUACUAAACUACUAGCUAAUUCAAAUGAAGACUGGAUCAAUUAUAUUUCGAAAGGUGGACUGAUUAGUCCUUCCAUUGAAUUGAUUAAAACGGCAGAAAUAAUGAAUUCGGAAUUUAAAAAAUUUCAUGGUUUAUUUAUCAGUAAAAAGUCCAAAAUUUUUAAAACAAUUGCUGAAAAAGUGAGAAAAAACAAACAUACUUUAGUAAUACCUUUAGAGAUAUUAUUAUGCCUAAUUAAAACGCGAACAUA
This 5611-nucleotide unclassified non-coding RNA is filed under the name Monomorium pharaonis (pharaoh ant). RNAcentral describes it as "uncharacterized LOC118645861, transcript variant X5". The record is from RNAcentral. Lineage: Eukaryota; Metazoa; Arthropoda; Insecta; Hymenoptera; Formicidae.